AUGAACGCUAGCGGCAGGCUUAAUACAUGCAAGUCGAGGGGCAGCAUGGGUAGCAAUACCUGAUGGCGACCGGCAAACGGGUGAGGAACACGUACGCAACUUCCCUAAAACUGGUGAAUAGCCCUCCGAAAGGAGGAUUAAUACACCGUAAGAUAACGAGAUGGCAUCAUUUUGUUAUUAUAGCUCCGGCGGUUUUAUGAUAGGCGUGCGCCUGAUUAGGUAGUUGGUAAGGUAACGGCUUACCAAGCCUACGAUCAGUAACUGGUGUGAGAGCACGACCAGUCACACGGGCACUGAGACACGGGCCCGACUCCUACGGGAGGCAGCAGUAAGGAAUAUUGGUCAAUGGACGAAAGUCUGAACCAGCCAUGCCGCGUGAAGGAUGAAGGUCCUCUGGAUUGUAAACUUCUUUUAUCUGGGACGAAAAAAGGCCAUUCUUGGCCACUUGACGGUACCAGAGGAAUAAGCACCGGCUAACUCCGUGC
RNAcentral lists this ribosomal RNA (485 nucleotides) under uncultured bacterium. RNAcentral describes it as "bacterial SSU rRNA". It matches the Rfam family "Bacterial small subunit ribosomal RNA", at positions 29 to 508 of the family's 1533-position model. The record is from RNAcentral.